Molecule: ribosomal RNA, 519 nt
Filed under: Triticum aestivum (bread wheat)
Lineage: Eukaryota; Viridiplantae; Streptophyta; Magnoliopsida; Poales; Poaceae
Description: partial small subunit ribosomal RNA
Source: RNAcentral
AUGGCGACGGGUGGAGCACCAUUUGACGUGCUAUCGUCACUGGACCCCGAGACCUUCGCCGGGGAGUCGCGCGCCGUGAUCAACUUCCUCGCCGAGUACUACCGUGACGUCGAGACGUAUCCGGUCCAGCCCCAGUCCUUGCCAGGGUGCCUCCGUGCGCUUCUACCCGACGCGCCGCCCGAGAACGGCGAGCCCAUCGACGUGAUACUGGAGGAGAUGGCCAGGUGGUUCGAGCAGGAGCUGAAGGCCGACGGGCGGUUCGAGGUGGUAGCGCCGACGAGGUUCUCCCUCGUGACCUUCCGCCUCCGUCCAGGGCACGACGGCGACGGUGAUGGCUUGAACCGUAGGCUCCUCGUGGCGGUGAACGCUAGCGGGAGGGCGUUCAUGACGCACUUCGUGGUGGACGGCAAGUUUGUUAUCCGUAUGGCUGUGGGCGGAGCCAUGACGGAGAUGCAGCACGUCCAAGACACGUGGGAGCUUGUCCGGGAGAAGGCCGAGGAGGUCGGCGCCCUCCCUUAG